This 30-nucleotide non-coding RNA is filed under the name Rattus norvegicus (Norway rat). The record is from RNAcentral. Lineage: Eukaryota; Metazoa; Chordata; Mammalia; Rodentia; Muridae.
UCAACAACUCACAUUGUGAUCAGUCAUGGC